CAUCAUCAUGCAGCUAAAAACAUCCAGGGGUACAGUGGAGAAAGUGCUGCAGUCGUUAUUCAGCGACGAGUUGGUGUGGCUGUACAACUUCGAUGGAAAGGCUGGGAAAAAGCCACUGAUUAAAUUAAAAACUGUGGAGCUAGUUCUCGAUAUCAGAAUCUAACUGGUUGCAUCCACAAUAAUAAUUUUACCAUUUUAUUUUAAUUUCUGAUUGCUGUGCAAAAGACGUGUUAGAGCAUCAGCAGCUACGUUUAUAAAAAAUAUAUAUUUUAAUAUAUAAAUUACUUAUUUUUAGCUAUUUAAAUUUUUUUAAUUUUUCGUUUAGAUUGUAUAUAUCGGAGUCAUUGGAUAAUGAAGGUCUUCAACAUGUUGGAUGAAAGGGCAAGGGACAGUCUGACAAAGCAUCCUUAGAAAUGUCUCGAUUCAGACGAGCGGAAACUCAUCAAAUUGCAAUUUAAUCUAACUGAGGAUGAGGAAAAUUACGAAUGUUUGCAAGCGCCAGAUGAGAUAAUUGUUUUAGACACUACUGCUGCAUCAAGCCAGUCACAAGACAUAACGCUACAAGCGCCACUAUCGAAUUCCGAAAAUUUGGUUACACAUGAUGUCAAUGUGUUAUUCUCGAGCGGCUCCAUGGAUAUAAGUAAUUUAUGCAACUGGCCGCUAGAAGCUACACAUAGUCAAAGUCUAUAUAUAAGUCGAAAAAAAGCAAUCAAAUUUUGCAAAGUUGUAAUGAAACUGAAUUUUUUUGAAC
This is a long non-coding RNA of Rhagoletis pomonella (apple maggot), 751 nucleotides long. RefSeq lists it as uncharacterized. Lineage: Eukaryota; Metazoa; Arthropoda; Insecta; Diptera; Tephritidae. The transcript has 3 exons. The record is from RefSeq and is a predicted model, not a curated record.